AACAAAAAAAAGUGCCACACGCUGUACUGACAGAGCCAGCCAGGCACCCCAAAUUUCUGUGUGGUUUUUGUUUUUUAAACCACAGGGUUUGUGGUGCUUUGUUACAGCAGCCACAGGAAACUAAUGCACACUCGUUUGUUUGGGGGAUUAUCACGCAACCAGUAAAUCUGGCUACACGGCAACUGAACCGAAGCAGAACGAUGGUGAGCGGUCAGCAUUAUCAUGCUUUUCAGGCUGUCCUGUUUCCUCCCCUUGGAGCCCCCUGUGGAGCACAUGCUGUUAUUAUCCUGACUUCACAGGCAAACAAACUAAGGCAAUGCUGUAGGUAACUCGCCAAGGUCACCGGCGGGCAGGUGGGAGUGCCCUAAGUGGCAGCCUUCCUAGGCCCCCGAAGUCAGGUGAUGGGAAGAGUGUGAAGUCUAUUGGCCGAGCAGCAGCAGGAGGUUGGGCACUGAACCAAAAACGGGAGGACGAAAGCGUGUCACCUUAACCCUGUGAAGGGCCCGCCUUCUCCCCUGGGCCAGAAUUGUCCAGAGGAAGCCAUGGCACGCCCACCUGACAGAAUGGUGUGCACCCAUCGAAGACGGCCUUCUGAAGCCUGUAGCAUCAUGGGAAAGGAUGACGUCACCAAGCGAACAACGCUCCCUGCAGAAUUGCCUCUGUGCAGGGUCGCCCCCCUGGCAGUGUUAUGUGUGCACGUGGGUGUAGCAGGAGGGGACUCUUGAGCCACGUGGCUCUCCACACCGUCUCUGGUCAGAUGUCCUUGCCUUUAAGCAUGCCCAAGUUGAUGGCCCGGGGCUGGUCACCUGGCCCCAGGUUCGCCAGCCAGCGGUUCCCUUAGGAAUACAGAGUAAUGAUUCCUCGGGUGCCUGGAGCUUGGGUGCUGUGCACUCACGCGAGGGAGCUGUGGGUCGCUUACGCUGCUCAAAAGGACUGAAGCCAUCAGAGAAGCUGCUGUGCAGAGACAGAGACUGAGAAUCAGGAAGCAGAUGUACAGAGAGGAAGAGACAGUCACAGGCUGAAAGAAGAAAACCAGCCACCAUGCUUGCUGUUGAGAAACCCCAGCCCUGGGGGAUGGCCCAGUCUGUGGCUGAAUAUUCUACUGGACAGGAGUUCAUGGCAGUGUUUGUUGGGUCAAUGACAUGACCCAAAACAAAACUGACAGCCAACUAGCUAAGCUUCUGUGGGAAUUGAAACUCCAGGAAACCCUAAAACCUGGCAAACUGGGGCUUGUGAUGGCUUACCCUCUGGGUGAUUCCUAAGCCCACAUCCCAGCACCAACGUGAAGCAGGUUCCCGGGUAGCUGUGUCCCCUCCUAGAACAAGGUGUCCCAAGAAUCUCUCAAGGGCAGGUCUGCAAGACCCCAGAGAAGGGAUCCCUUCCCAGUGGGCAGGACCGGGGGCAGCCAUGUUUGCCGACGAAGAAGCCGAGGAAGGUAACCAGUAAAGCAAACCCCGUGAAUAUCUUGUUCCUGAGGUUCAAUUUACUCCUCCUGGCUAGAAGACCAGGGUGUGUUCUCUGUAUCUUCCUUCCCUUUUCUGCUCUAGAGAUCAAGCACGGAAGGAGACGUUAAACUGAUCGUUUAGCCUAUAGAUUGAGACAGAUCCAAGGAGCCACCUUAGAUGAGACUCCGUAGAAAUAGGCAGGACCGGGUGUCAGCUGAAGAUCCCGGCUCUGAGAAUGGAGCCCUGGACGCGAUAGUUGGACCUGACUUGGAUCGCCUCCCAUUUGGCAGGGAGACGAGAUAUUUGCGGUGGACUUUGUGGUAUAACGAUUAAGCAAGACCAAUCAGAAUGGAGAUAUCUGGGGAAAGCCGAAGGAAUUAGCGUGUGUGUGUGUGUGUGUGUGUGUGUGUGUGAUGGAGAGUGGAUGCUCUUGGCUGUCCAUCUGGCCCCCUUUUCUCGUAGCCCUUCCUCGCUUUGUCAUGACAGAAAUGUAGCAUAUAAACUUGACCACUGGCCAUAACCGAUUCCUGCUUCCCGGGGUUUGGGACCCGGACAUAGUUCUCUCUGGGAGAAGGGAUCCAGGCCACAUCAGCGUGGCAGGUGGGACGCAGGCGGGCAAAUGGGACAGGCAAGCAAGCGGUGCUGAGAAAGAAUCCAAGAGCUCUGAGUGCCCGUGCUCCAAACUGGGCUGCGUGUCCGGGCUCCAUGAGAACAUCCUGUGCCUUUGCUAUAAAGUCUCCUUUCCUGCUUGAGCGGUCAGCGACUGAUUUCUGAUUCUUGGGGUCACUCAUUUGCUGGGACAGCGACCUACCCUGGGGCAUGGGCUCGGCUGCGGCUGGAGAACAAACUUAAGACAUCUAAUAAUCAAGAGAGCCAACUGGACUAGCCCCCUGGGGUUAUCUCCCACCACCUCCCCCCGCCCUUCAUGCUGCACCAAGGGCUGCGACUUGUGGCUCCGGACCACCCCAAGCUCCCUGACUCUGGGCCUUUGCUCAUGCUGUUCCCUUUGCCUGGACUGCCCUUCCCAACUGUUCCUCUUGCCCUCUCUGCCUCUUUCCUUGCCUGGCCGGUUGGCACAGAUAUCGCCCACGUGGCCCCUGUCUAGAAGGGUCUUUGUUCCAGGCUGCAGCAUCCCCCACUGUAGCACUCGGUCUGCUCAGUUCCGACUGCCAGGGUGCUGGCUGCUCCUCAGAGCGGGGCCUCCGCGUGGAUCGGGCUGGCAUCCCGGCGUGAGCUCGGUGUCGGCACCCAGAGUGUUACAAGUGAGUCUGUAGAAGUGUGGGAUGAAUGAAUGAAUGAGCCAGUCAUGGCUGGACAGGCUUUGCCCAGCAGAAGGGUCAGGGGUCUGCAGCCAAGGGAGAGGAAGGACAAAGGUCCUGGUCCUACCAGCGUGGGAACAGCUCCUUCCUUUCCUUCCAGCAGGCGCCCAACACCCAGGGACUGGGAGCCAGAUGCUCAGAGGCUUGACAGCCUCAGGGAGUCCAGACUCACCUUCCAGAGCGGCCCCUCCACCCCUCAUGUCACCAGACAUGGGGGUUCAGCCUGGAUCGGUCCAUCCGUAGGUUCUGCUCCCACGUCUAGGAAAAAGCACUGCUUCCAGAAUGAGGAUGGGAAGGAGGGCGCCUCUGCUCCUCCCAUCUGGCAGCCGCACCCCCCCACGCCCCCCCCACCCCGGCUUCCCCCACCAGCCUCCCAACCUCCGCUGCUGCCUGUGCUCCGAGCUGGAGACCACAGAGCCCAGAGCCUGGCAGCUGGAUGGCGCAACGCAUGGAAUACGCUGCUCUCCCCAGCUUCCUGAGGCCCCCACCCCUGGGAUCCUCCGCCCCCCAGGGCUCCUUCCCCCAGCGGGCUUCGGCCUUCACCUUCACCUUCACCUCUCCACCCCCCAGCGUGCGCUGACGAAAGGGCAAUGGUGCAAAAUUCGUUGGGGAGAAAAACAGGAAGUGGAGCCUGAGAGCAAGGCUGCAGAAACGCUCCCCGGGCGUUGGCCGCCCUUCCACCCGCAGCCUUACAGGAAAGUGGUGAGGGGGCAGCCCCAGCCCGGGCUGUGGGGGCGUGGGGUGAGGGUGCUGGUGGGAGAGUCCAGGAAAGACCCUUCCGCUGUAUUUUUAGGGGCUGUGUCUUGUAGAGCAAAUGCUACAUCUGUGUCCUGCACUUGACAUCUCCUCUCACCUGUUCACAGCGGCUCCUCAAGAGUCGCAGAUGGAGCCCCCCAGGCCCACGGAACCUGGCCACCCGUACAGAAGGCACCGCGGCCCCCCACUCCCCAUCUCUGAGGUCGAAACCACAAUGUCGUGCUGUGGCCUUCACUCACCCGUCACGACAGGGGUCCCUUUCCCAGAAGCCUCUGGGGCUGCCAGACCACAGCAGAAGCCAGCUCAUGAUCUCACCGUUGGUGGAUUUGAGCCCCACACUGGGCUCCGUAUUGACAAUGCAGAGCCUGCUUGGGAUUCUCUCUCCCCCCCUCUCUCU
Molecule: long non-coding RNA, 3917 nt
Organism: Acinonyx jubatus (cheetah)
Lineage: Eukaryota; Metazoa; Chordata; Mammalia; Carnivora; Felidae
Exons: 4
Source: RefSeq, a predicted model, not a curated record